Molecule: ribosomal RNA, 1349 nt
Filed under: metagenome
Description: bacterial LSU rRNA
Rfam family: Bacterial large subunit ribosomal RNA
Source: RNAcentral
UGAGUGCGAGCUGCUACGGCAGCGAAGUGGGUGACGUCAAGCUUCCAAGAAAAGCCCUAUACCCAUUAAGGCAUGACGGCCUGUACCCGAAACCGACACAGGUGGGGUGGUAGAGAAUACCGAGGGGCGCGAGGUAACUCUCUCUAAGGAACUCGGCAAAAUGGCCCCGUAACUUCGGGAGAAGGGGUGCCACCGCAAGGUGGUCGCAGUGAAGAGGCCCAGGCGACUGUUUACCAAAAACACAGGUCUCCGCUAAGUCGCAAGACGAUGUAUGGGGGCUGACGCCUGCCCAGUGCCGGAAGGUUAAGGAAGCUGGUCAGCGUAAGCGAAGCUGGCGACUGAAGCCCCGGUGAACGGCGGCCGUAACUAUAACGGUCCUAAGGUAGCGAAAUUCCUUGUCGGGUAAGUUCCGACCCGCACGAAAGGCGUAACGAUCUGGGCGCUGUCUCGGAGAGAGGCUCGGCGAAAUAGAAUUGUCUGUGAAGAUGCGGACUACGUGCACCCGGACAGAAAGACCCUAUGAAGCUUUACUGUAGCUUGGUAUUGUGCCCGGGCUCUGAAUGCGCAGGAUAGGUGGGAGGCUUUGAUCCAUUGCUUGUGGGUGAUGGUGAGCCAACGGUGAGAUACCACUCUUUCAGAGCUAGGGUUCUAACGGUCACCCGUCAUCCGGGGACCGGACAGUAUCAGGUGGGCAGUUUGACUGGGGCGGUCGCCUCCUAAAAUGUAACGGAGGCGCGCAAAGGUUCCCUCAGGCUGGUUGGAAAUCAGCCGACGAGUGUAAAGGCAGAAGGGAGCUUGACUGUGAGACCUACAAGUCGAACAGGGACGAAAGUCGGCCUUAGUGAUCCGACGGUUCUGAGUGGAAGGGCCGUCGCUCAACGGAUAAAAGUUACUCUAAGGAUAACAGGCUGAUCUCCCCCAAGAGUUCACAUCGACGGGGAGGUUUGGCACCUCGAUGUCGGCUCAUCGCAACCUGGGGCUGAAGUCGGUCCCAAGGGUUGGGCUGUUCGCCCAUUAAAGCGGUACGCGAGCUGGGUUCAGAACGUCGUGAGACAGUUCGGUCCAUAUCCGGUGCAUGCGCAGGAAUAUUGAGAGGAUUUCUCCCUAGUACGAGAGGACCGGGAGGAACGCACCUCUGGUGUGCCAGUUAUCGUGCCAACGGUAAACGCUGGGUAGCCAUGUGCGGAGUGGAUAACCGCUGAAAGCAUCUAAGUGGGAAGCCCACCUCAAGAUGAGUAUUCCCAUGGCGUUAGCCAGUAAGGUCACGGGCAGAACACCCGUUGAUAGGCUCUACGUGGAAGCCGGGUAACCGGUGAGGCGGAGGAGUACUAAUAGACCGAGGGCUUGAC